GGCUUGUAGCUCAGGUGGUUAGAGCGCACCCCUGAUAAGGGUGAGGUCGGUGGUUCAAGUCCACUCCG
Molecule: transfer RNA, 68 nt
Filed under: Salmonella enterica subsp. enterica serovar Enteritidis
Lineage: Bacteria; Pseudomonadati; Pseudomonadota; Gammaproteobacteria; Enterobacterales; Enterobacteriaceae
Description: tRNA-Ile
Rfam family: tRNA (bases 6-66)
About the family: Transfer RNA (tRNA) molecules are approximately 80 nucleotides in length.
Source: RNAcentral